Aethina tumida (small hive beetle) is the source of this 425-nucleotide long non-coding RNA. RefSeq lists it as uncharacterized. The transcript has 3 exons. The record is from RefSeq and is a predicted model, not a curated record. Lineage: Eukaryota; Metazoa; Arthropoda; Insecta; Coleoptera; Nitidulidae.
AUGGCACCGUAUCGAUUACGGUCGGUCAUUUCUGAAACAAAAUGAUUGUAAUUUGGUUGCCGGGCUAUUUCUACGGGGGACGCACUUUUGCGUCCAAGGAAACUUCGUUUCCUUUACAACAUUUAUAUGAUUAACAAGAUUUGACUGCACACGUGUGCGUCCGCAACCGAGAUGUUUGUUUAUCGUCUAUCUGCUUUUUAUUUAUAUAGUGAUUUUUAUGUGGCUGUAAUAAUUGUGCGGUCGUUAUUUUAAAAAGGAACGAAAGGAUCCUUACGAAGUGUUCGUGUUAAUCUGUCUACUCACCGUUAGAGGGUGGCAGCAUGAAAAAGCGGACUCCUCGACUAUUUUAAACUUUCAUCGAGAGGCGACAAAAAUUUUAAAAUUCUCAAUAAUUAAUACAGUAUAAAAGCAAAUUAAUUAUUUAA